RNAcentral lists this ribosomal RNA (376 nucleotides) under uncultured bacterium. Its description in RNAcentral is "bacterial SSU rRNA". It matches the Rfam family "Bacterial small subunit ribosomal RNA", at positions 28 to 402 of the family's 1533-position model. The record is from RNAcentral.
GAUGAACGCUAGCGGCAGGCUUAACACAUGCAAGUCGAGGGGCAGCACGGGUAGCAAUACCUGGUGGCGACCGGGCAAACGGGUGCGGAACACGUACACAAUCUACCUUUAUCUGGGGAAUAGCCCGAAGAAAUUCGGAUUAAUACCCCAUAAAAUAACAGAGUGGCAUCACUUAAUUAUUAAAACUCCGGUGGAUAGAGAUGAGUGUGCGUCCAUUAGCUAGUUGGUAGGUAAGGCCUACCAAGGCGACGAUGGGUAGCUGGUGUGAGAGCACGACCAGCCACACGGGCACUGAGACACGGGCCCGACUCCUACGGGAGGCAGCAGUGGGGAAUAGUUGCGCAAUGGGCGGAAGCCUGACGCAGCGACGCCGCGU